Molecule: small nucleolar RNA, 122 nt
Organism: Carcharodon carcharias (great white shark)
Lineage: Eukaryota; Metazoa; Chordata; Chondrichthyes; Lamniformes; Lamnidae
Product: small nucleolar RNA SNORD22
Exons: 1
Source: RefSeq, a predicted model, not a curated record
UCCUUGGGAUGAUGUUAAUCCACGUCUUACAUGCUGCAAAGAAGCAGAACCUGCAAAGGUGAACCCACUGUCUCUCGCAGUAUGAAAUGAGGAUAGCUUGUUCUCUGAACAGUCUGAUGGGA